GCCGAGUAACAUGACUUGUCGACUUUGGUUUUACCCAACGUGUUUACGUUUCUGUUUUGGCCGCAGAUAAACACAGCUAUGCUGACCCAUUUGCCAACUGCAAGACUAAUGGAACGCACAGGAUUGUGGGAUAUCAAAGGCAGCGAAGGAUACUAUGCUGCCUUCAAAAAUCGGCCAGAUGAAGGCAUCUCAGGAGACAGGAACUGAAGCUAACACUGAAUUCGGACAUGCCUUAAUGCCCUCCUACCUUGGAAUGCGUUCUCUGAACUUUGAUAUGUAAAAACGUCCACCUAGAGCUCCUAACUUACAGACGAGCAGAAUGAUUUCAGUGAAAAAUCACGGUCUAGUGCAGCUUUUUGAUCUAGCUGCAACAUAUUCUGGAGGGGGAUUAUUUUGCCUUAUAUAAACUUUCAGAGCCACACCACCAUGAGCUGAUUCAAAAUCUAAUGAUUCAUUUCCAGCCUCCUCUCAGCUGCAAGAAAACUCUUCCAAGACAUAAUUUAUAAAUGGUCCACAAAAGCGGUUCUCUCUGUCAUAUUUUGAUGUAGGAGGCAGUCGGCGGGGUUGGAAUUUGGAGAUCUGGAGUCUCGCUCCAGACACCUGCAAUCAAAAUAUAUUGAUUUUGGCUCCACAUUCUCUUGUACGUGUGAUUCUUCAGAGUGAAUAUCGUGAGGACAUAAUUAGCAGAUCAUUUCCCACCAGGUCUGAUGAAGG
Onychostoma macrolepis is the source of this 714-nucleotide long non-coding RNA. RefSeq lists it as uncharacterized. The transcript is spliced from 5 exons. The record is from RefSeq and is a predicted model, not a curated record. Lineage: Eukaryota; Metazoa; Chordata; Actinopteri; Cypriniformes; Cyprinidae.